GAUGAACGCUGGCGGCGUGCCUAAUACAUGCAAGUCGAGCGAACAGACGAGGAGCUUGCUCCUCUGACGUUAGCGGCGGACGGGUGAGUAACACGUGGAUAACCUACCUAUAAGACUGGGAUAACUUCGGGAAACCGGAGCUAAUACCGGAUAAUAUAUUGAACCGCAUGGUUCAAUAGUGAAAGACGGUUUUGCUGUCACUUAUAGAUUGAUCCGCGCCGCAUUAGCUAGUUGGUAAGGUAACGGCUUACCAAGGCGACGAUGCGUAGCCGACCUGAGAGGGUGAGCGGCCACACUGGAACUGAGACACGGUCCAGACUCCUACGGGAGGCAGCAGUAGGGAAUCUUCCGCAAUGGGCGAAAGCCUGACGGAGCAACGCCGCGUGAGUGAUGAAGGUCUUCGGAUCGUAAAACUCUGUUAUUAGGGAAGAACAAAUGUGUAAGUAACUAUGCACGUCUUGACGGUACCUAAUCAGAAAGCCACGGCUAACUACGUG
RNAcentral lists this ribosomal RNA (497 nucleotides) under uncultured bacterium. RNAcentral's name for it is "partial 16S ribosomal RNA". It matches the Rfam family "Bacterial small subunit ribosomal RNA", at positions 28 to 507 of the family's 1533-position model. The record is from RNAcentral.